GUGGGGAAUAUUGGACAAUGGGCGAAAGCCUGAUCCAGCAAUGCCGCGUGAGUGAUGAAGGCCCUAGGGUUGUAAAGCUCUUUUACCAGGGAUGAUAAUGACAGUACCUGGAGAAUAAGCUCCGGCUAACUCCGUGCCAGCAGCCGCGGUAAUACGGAGGUAGCUAGCGUUGUUCGGAAUUACUGGGCGUAAAGCGCGCGUAGGCGGUUUUUUAAGUCAGAGGUGAAAGCCCGGGGCUCAACCCCGGAAUUGCCUUUGAAACUGGAAAACUUGAAUCUUGGAGAGGUCAGUGGAAUUCCGAGUGUAGAGGUGAAAUUCGUAGAUAUUCGGAAGAACACCAGUGGCGAAGGCGACUGACUGGACAAGUAUUGACGCUGAGGUGCGAAAGCGUGGGGAGCAAACAGGAUUAGAAACCCCUGUAGUCC
RNAcentral lists this ribosomal RNA (425 nucleotides) under uncultured bacterium. RNAcentral's name for it is "partial 16S ribosomal RNA". It matches the Rfam family "Bacterial small subunit ribosomal RNA", at positions 354 to 796 of the family's 1533-position model. The record is from RNAcentral.